This 82-nucleotide transfer RNA is filed under the name Pseudoclavibacter caeni. Its description in RNAcentral is "Pseudoclavibacter sp. MJ28 tRNA". It matches the Rfam family "tRNA". Rfam says of the family: Transfer RNA (tRNA) molecules are approximately 80 nucleotides in length. Their secondary structure includes four short double-helical elements and three loops (D, anti-codon, and T loops). Lineage: Bacteria; Bacillati; Actinomycetota; Actinomycetes; Micrococcales; Microbacteriaceae. The record is from Rfam by way of RNAcentral.
GGCGGGUUACCCAAGCGGCCAAAGGGAUCUGACUGUAAAUCAGCUGGCUCUGCCUACGUAGGUUCGAAUCCUGCACCCGCCA